This 496-nucleotide ribosomal RNA is filed under the name uncultured bacterium. RNAcentral's name for it is "partial 16S ribosomal RNA". It matches the Rfam family "Bacterial small subunit ribosomal RNA", at positions 29 to 507 of the family's 1533-position model. The record is from RNAcentral.
AUGAACGCUGGCGGCGUGCCUAAAACAUGCAAGUCGAGCGAACAGACGAGGAGCUUGCUCCUCUGACGUUAGCGGCGGACGGGUGAGUAACACGUGGAUAACCUACCUAUAAGACUGGGAUAACUUCGGGAAACCGGAGCUAAUACCGGAUAAUAUAUUGAACCGCAUGGUUCAAUAGUGAAAGACGGUUUUGCUGUCACUUAUAGAUGGAUCCGCGCCGCAUUAGCUAGUUGGUAAGGUAACGGCUUACCAAGGCAACGAUGCGUAGCCGACCUGAGAGGGUGAUCGGCCACACUGGAACUGAGACACGGUCCAGACUCCUACGGGAGGCAGCAGUAGGGAAUCUUCCGCAAUGGGCGAAAGCCUGACGGAGCAACGCCGCGUGAGUGAUGAAGGUCUUCGGAUCGUAAAACUCUGUUAUUAGGGAAGAACAAAUGUGUAAGUAACUAUGCACGUCUUGACGGUACCUAAUCAGAAAGCCACGGCUAACUACGUG